This is a long non-coding RNA of Portunus trituberculatus (swimming crab), 764 nucleotides long. RefSeq lists it as uncharacterized. The transcript is spliced from 6 exons. The record is from RefSeq and is a predicted model, not a curated record. Lineage: Eukaryota; Metazoa; Arthropoda; Malacostraca; Decapoda; Portunidae.
CCCCACCACAACCACUGAGGCGGCCCUCCACGCCGAGGAGGAAAUUCACCAACCACAUCAUGAAAACAGGAAACAAACCUCUGGCCAGGGAACUUGUCGAGAAGGUCAAAGGUCACAACUAGUCAGCCGGGAGUGGGUCAGGAUGGCACGGCUGGCUGUGGUGGUGGUGGUGGUGGUGGUGUUGGCGGCAGCAGCGGCGGGAAGGCCAGACUACACGCUGUCCCACAAAUUUAUUGAAAUGUUGCAGAGUGAACAGUCCACUUGGAAGGGGUCAUAUUGCUUGUGUGGCCGGUGUGAAUGUGACCGGGGGCUUGGCAGGGAUGACUGGGGGCUUGGCAGGGGUGAUGGGGGGCUUGGCAAGGGUGGCAGGAGGGGUGAGAUACAGCCAAUACCCCCCGGCGUACAUGGCCUCAAAACUGCAAGAGAUGGAGGACAGCGGGGAGAUGAAGGAAUUUGAGUAGCGGGCGGUCCGAGCGGCCCACAGCACCCACACCACCUCCGUACUCCACCACCCGCUUGUCAGGAAAUUCACCAACCACAUCAUGAAAACAGGAAACAAACCUCUGGCCAGGGAACUUGUCGAGAAGGUCAAAGGUCACAACUAGCCAGCCAGGAGUGGGUCAGGAUGGCACGGCUGGCUGUGGUGGUGGUGGUGGUGGCGGCAGCAGCGGCGGGAAGGCCAGACUACACGCUGUCCCACAAAUUUAUUGAAAUGUUGCAGAGUGAACAGUCCAUUUGGAAGGUUUGUUUGUUUGUUUGUGUUU